UACAGAGGUCUCAAGCGUUGUUCGGAUUCAUUGGGCGUAAAGGGUGCGUAGGCGGUCGUGCAAGUCGGAUGUGAAAUCUCAGGGCUCAACCCUGAAACUGCAUUCGAUACUGCGUGGCUAGAGUGCUGGAGAGGAGACUGGAAUUUACGGUGUAGCAGUGAAAUGCGUAGAUAUCGUAAGGAAGACCAGUGGCGAAGGCGGGUCUCUGGGCAGUAACUGACGCUGAGGAGCGAAAGCGUGGGGAGCGAACAGG
RNAcentral lists this ribosomal RNA (253 nucleotides) under uncultured bacterium. RNAcentral's name for it is "partial 16S ribosomal RNA". It matches the Rfam family "Bacterial small subunit ribosomal RNA", at positions 524 to 776 of the family's 1533-position model. The record is from RNAcentral.